RNAcentral lists this ribosomal RNA (460 nucleotides) under uncultured bacterium. RNAcentral describes it as "partial 16S ribosomal RNA". It matches the Rfam family "Bacterial small subunit ribosomal RNA", at positions 338 to 795 of the family's 1533-position model. The record is from RNAcentral.
CCUACGGGAGGCAGCAGUGAGGAAUAUUGGUCAAUGGACGAGAGUCUGAACCAGCCAAGUAGCGUGAAGGAUGACUGCCCUAUGGGUUGUAAACUUCUUUUAUAUGGGAAUAAAAUGUUCCACGUGUGGGAUUUUGUAUGUACCAUAUGAAUAAGGAUCGGCUAACUCCGUGCCAGCAGCCGCGGUAGUACGGAGGAUCCGAGCGUUAUCCGGAUUUAUUGGGUUUAAAGGGAGCGUAGGUGGAUUGUUAAGUCAGUUGUGAAAGUUUGCGGCUCAACCGUAAAAUUGCAGUUGAAACUGGCAGUCUUGAGUACAGUAGAGGUGGGCGGAAUUCGUGGUGUAGCGGUGAAAUGCUUAGAUAUCACGAAGAACUCCGAUUGCGAAGGCAGUUCACUGGACUGCAACUGACACUGAGGCUCGAAAGUGUGGGUAUCAAACAGGAUUAGAUACCCCUGUAGUC